Molecule: RNA transcript, 4025 nt
Organism: Triticum aestivum (bread wheat)
Lineage: Eukaryota; Viridiplantae; Streptophyta; Magnoliopsida; Poales; Poaceae
Exons: 9
Source: RefSeq, a predicted model, not a curated record
GUAAUCCACCAGCAUCUCUAUCCUUCUUCCCCUCUACUUUUGAUCUGUCUUCAUGCUCAUCUAACAGAGGACCAGGGAGUGGCGGCAGUGGCCAGGCCUAGUGGUGACGGGACGAUGAAGUGGUCGGAGGCGCUGCAUCGGCGGCCAGUUGGUCUGCAAUGACGGCAAGAUGGCGGAGAUCGUGCACCAGCUGUGCCAAAGCAAUGGUUCCUUUUGGACUGUUAUAAUAUGGAGCAAGUUGUGUGGAGAUUUAAAUUGAAGCACAAAGCACAGCUUUGUUCCUUGAUCAACCAAUCAGUAUCUUCCUUUGGAAUCUUAAGUUUUGAUAUGAGAUGAGAAUAAUUUGUAAUAGCAAUUCAUGGCUUUUAUGUAAUCAGGAACGCUUGUAGGCUGAAAGUCCACUAGACAGCUUUCUGAAAUCACUUGGACUUGAGAAGUGUUCUAUUUCCUUCCAGUUAGAGUAGGUUUGACUAUUUACCUAAAUCUUUGCAUUGUUUUUUUUUCGUGUUUGGCUGACAAUUGUUGUGUUGCUGGUUGACAUGGCGGCCCUACGUCACAUGACUGAAAUUGAUCUCAAGCGUUAGGCAUCCUGAUGGUACAACGAUGUAGGGUCUCUUCCUCCUCACCCGCAGGCCCCGUGCCGCCGCCCUCCAUACCCCCGUCCGGCGACCUGGGCGUCUGACCGACGCCUCGCCGCUCAUUGCCGCAGCAUGCACUGAAAGGUUGUUUCACAUCAGAUCCGGAUGCUUUUAUUUUUGGGGCAAGGACAGUUUACAGAGAUGUUUUUUUAGGAUGGGAUGGUGUUCUACCCCUCCGUGUCCUCAAAAUGUGCCAAUGGAUGACAUUCUCCAGAUUAACAAGUUCAUUUGUGCUGCUGCUCUUACGAUGUCUCGGGGCAUUGGGGUGGGCAAGAUGAAGGUGCUCAGCGGUUGCUGCAAGCGCUGUGAGGCCGGGCGGUGGAGGCGUAUGCAUGGGCCACAGUUCAGGUGCCAAAUCUUGCUCAUGGAGGGAUCAUAUAUAGCCAGACACUUAUAGUAGAUGAAGCUCACCGUUCGUAUCAUGAGAAUGUGGGAACACUCUAAUAUGGAUUCUACUGUGUUACAUGGUCCAAAUUUCCUUAUGGUUGAUCACAAGGUAAAAUUCAUAACCGAACUACAAUCUCACAUCUCGUUGCAGCAGAUUAUAUGAUUCAGUCUAUGUACAACUUUUCAGGGCAACACAAUGGAAGGAACGAUCCCCACAUAUAGGAUGUGUACCUACGAAAAUGAGUUCCAAAAAGGGGUCAUAUAUACGAUUGAAAACUUUUAUGAUACGUACAGCCAGGAAAAAAAUACAGGGCAGUGGAGCAUCCGUUCGCUCAACAAACAUUAAUAUAACCAGUCGUUCCGCAACCAGAAGAUUUACCUAUGUGUGGAACGACUGGUUAUAUGAAUGUUUUCAUCUUCGGUCAGCACUUAAUAGAAGGACACCGAGAGGCACGUGCGAUGUGAUUUCCCUGUAGACAUCAUGUCUGACGGUACCUCAUUCGAGGAUGGUCUCUUUGUCGCACAGUCGAUGACACUGUGGGGCUCUGCAGGAUGUUUUCCCAUGAAAAACCGGAGACUGCGCGCUUCAUCACCGAUAAUUCGCUCCACCUUCUAAACAGCAAGUAUGCAUCUUUAUCUUUGUGCAAAAAGGUUAGGGACAAAUUUUAUUGAUUACAUGGUUUCAUGAAGAAAUCGACUUAUCUUCGUUCUCCAAAAAUAUAUGACUAACCUUACAAUACGACACUUUUUCCUAAAUAUUGGUUCCCCUAAACCCUUCUUUUGUUUUAGAUGAAUAUAUUGAGUUGUCAGUUCAUUACUCAUAACUGAUUGAUUGUUGCAUUGUCGUAUACUUUUGGUUCUACUAGAUUCUACUAAAUUUGGCCUUUGUUGUACUUGAAAAAUCAAAUAACUGAACUUGCUUUAUUUCUGUUCUCUGUAGUUGUAUAAACCCUUUAUAUGCAAAUGAACUGUCAGUUAGUUCAUUACUCACAACUGAUUGACUGUUGCUUUGUCGUAUACUUUUGGUUCUGCAAGGUUCUACUAAAUUUGGCCCUUGCUGUACUUGAAAAAUCAAAUAUCCGAACUUGCUUUAUUUCAGUUCUCUGUAGUUGUAUAAACCCUAUAUAUGCAAAUGGUGCCUAUCGGUAGGUUUUGAUUUUGCUACAUUAUGCCCUUAUAGAAACUUGAAAUAUCAAGCAACGUAACUUGCCUUAUCUCAGGUAGUUGUAUAAACUCUGUAGAUGCAUCACACUGUGUUCAUCAGUGCUAUGUUUUUUCUGGGGUUCAUUUGUGAUAUAUUUGAUGUAUAAGCACAAGAUCCAAGCUAUAAAGAGCGCAAAUUACUUCUUACCACUUUUAUAAAGGCUAAUUUACUCCAUUUAGAUUGAGGUAGUUUCAACUUAUAAACCUCUUGUGACCAAUUGGCAUAUGAUGUUAGAUAUGAGACAACAAUUGCCUCAAUGCCUCCAAUGUUUUGGGCAUUUUUUUCUUUGCAUUUUGAAUCAGAAGAUGGAGCUAAAAAGAAGCAAAUUUGUCAGACUGCCGGGUAAAAAGGGAGCUAAAUGUUAAACACUGCCAUGUAAAAAUGAACCUUUGGAUUCUGGGAUGCACUCGUUGCGCCGAUGGCGCAAAGGGCGAGAGCAAACUAUGUUUUCAAAGCAUGCAAAUAAGAAUAUUUAGAGACUGAUCAUAAAAUCCUUGAAGCAUAAGGGAAUAGAUAUUUUGGUAUGCUGCUCAUACAUAGCGUUAUAUAUUACAUUGCAUGGUAGGUUCAUAGGACAAAAGAAAGGCAUGAGAUAUGUUCAUGAUAAGCAAAGCUACAUAGGCAGAGAUGCACCAUAUAGAUAGCUUUGAUCGCUCAGCUUAUGGUAACCAGGAUAUGCAGUCAUUUACAUUAGGUAGUGCAUAAUUUAACUGUACGCCCACAAUUGCUAUUGCCAGCAAACAAGUUUUUGAUUUCUCGCACUAACAGUUCUCACGAUACUUAUACAGGGUGAAGAAUAUGAGCAUCCGGAGUAUAUCAUUCCAAGUGAGCUAAUGCCAGGCUAUAAUGCUUAUUAUCCUGUUCUGAUAUUCUUCAUUUAAAAUAAAAUGACCUCAUAGUGUUUAUGAUCUGCUAUACUUCUCCGACGCCACUUUUCCGCCUUAGAACCGAAAAAACAUAUAUCAGGCUGAUCAAUAAUGCUCAGCUUAACUAACCUGCUUACUAUAUUCUUCCUGCCAUAGGUUUAAAAGCUUAAUUCUACUUUUCUCUUGAUGAAAGCUUAGUCUCCUAACAAUAAAUAGUAUUCAGCCUUCUUACAUGUGCUGCUUCAUUUCGAUCUUACCAAAACGAAACUAAAUUCAGGGUCACCCCCUGCUAUCCAAUACUGCGGAGAACUUGAAAGGUACUGGCACUAGGGCAACCAAGUGAAGCUCUAUCAGCACCAUGUGAAGAAGUUGUUUUCCAUGUUCGGCCGCAAAAAUCCAAAUACCAAAUACUAUGUCUGCACCAUCAACAAAACAUUCGUAAAGCCAGGCCAAGGGAUGUAUUUUCAGGUCCACUACACUGAAAGCAAACUAAAAGAUUACAUUGACCCAGAUUAUGAUACACUCAAGGUCAGACUUGCAAACAGUGAUCUAUACGCCAAUUAUCGCAUCAUGCUAGGAACCGGCAAGAGAGCCACCGUAACAACCAACUGGUCUAAGUUUCGCCGCCUUGCAAAAAUCCAUGAAGGAGUUGAGAUAUCUGUGCUUUUCGUUUCAAGGUCACCACAAAGCAACGCCUGCUUCUCAUCGUGCAUUGCCUUUAGAUGAACCAUCGACAGCAACGGAAGUCAUAUCUAAAUAUCAUUUAGCAUUCUAAGGACUACUAAUCAAGCUCUGUAAUAGGAUGCAACCUUCCCCUGUUUUUUGAUGAUGCUAUCUGUUGCUUUUGAAUAGCUACCACCUAUGUUUUUACCUAUAUAACCUCUGCUGUUGUUCCUCAUCUAUCUAUUAAUAUGCAUAAUGCCAUCCUUA